GACGAACGCUGGCGGCGUGCUUAACACAUGCAAGUCGAACGGAAAGGCCCUGCUUUUGUGGGGUGCUCGAGUGGCGAACGGGUGAGUAACACGUGAGUAACCUGCCCUUGACUUUGGGAUAACUUCAGGAAACUGGGGCUAAUACCGGAUAGGAGCUCCUGCUGCAUGGUGGGGGUUGGAAAGUUUCGGCGGUUGGGGAUGGACUCGCGGCUUAUCAGCUUGUUGGUGGGGUAGUGGCUUACCAAGGCUUUGACGGGUAGCCGGCCUGAGAGGGUGACCGGCCACAUUGGGACUGAGAUACGGCCCAGACUCCUACGGGAGGCAGCAGUGGGGAAUAUUGCACAAUGGGCGGAAGCCUGAUGCAGCAACGCCGCGUGCGGGAUGACGGCCUUCGGGUUGUAAACCGCUUUCGCCUGUGACGAAGCGUGAGUGACGGUAAUGGGUAAAGAAGCACCGGCUAACUACGUGCCAGCAGCCGCGGUGAUACGUAGGGUGCGAGCGUUGUCCGGAUUUAUUGGGCGUAAAGGGCUCGUAGGUGGUUGAUCGCGUCGGAAGUGUAAUCUUGGGGCUUAACCCUGAGCGUGCUUCGAUACGGGUUGACUUGAGGGAAGGUAGGGGAGAAUGGAAUUCUGGUGGAGCGGUGGAAUGCGCAGAUAUCAGGAGGAACACCAGUGGCGAAGGCGGCUCUCUGGGCCUUUCCUGACGCUGAGGAGCGAAAGCGUGGGGAGCGAACAGGCUUAGAUACCCUGGUAGUCCACGCUGUAAACGGUGGGUACUAGGUGUGGGGUCCAUUCCACGGGUUCCGUGCCGUAGCUAACGCUUUAAGUACCCCGCCUGGGGAGUACGGCCGCAAGGCUAAAACUCAAAGGAAUUGACGGGGCCCCGCACAAGCGGCGGAGCAUGCGGAUUAAUUCGAUGCAACGCGUAGAACCUUACCUGGGUUUGACAUGGAUCGGGAGUGCUCAGAGAUGGGUGUGCCUCUUUUGGGGUCGGUUCACAGGUGGUGCAUGCCUGUCGUCAGCUCGUGUCGUGAGAUGUUGGGUUAAGUCCCGCAACGAGCGCAACCCUUGUUCACUGUUGCCAGCACGUUAUGGUGGGGACUCAGUGGAGACCGCCGGGGUCAACUCGGAGGAAGGUGGGGAUGACGUCAAGUCCUCAUGCCCCUUAUGUCCAGGGCUUCACGCAUGCUACAAUGGCUGGUACAGAGAGUGGCGAGCCUGUGAGGGUGAGCGAAUCUCGGAAAGCCGGUCUCAGUUCGGAUUGGGGUCUGCAACUCGACCUCAUGAAGUCGGAGUCGCUAGUAAUCGCAGAUCAGCAACGCUGCGGUGAAUACGUUCCCGGGGCU
RNAcentral lists this ribosomal RNA (1345 nucleotides) under uncultured bacterium. RNAcentral's name for it is "bacterial SSU rRNA". It matches the Rfam family "Bacterial small subunit ribosomal RNA", at positions 28 to 1381 of the family's 1533-position model. The record is from RNAcentral.